UUGACCAAUCUCUCAUGGUCAACCUGACCUUUUAUUGGAAUUUUAUUUCCCAUUUUUAAUUUAUUUUGGAUUUAUUUUUGGCCUAGUUUGCUCGGUUGACUCUACAUUUGACUUCUGUUUUUAUUUCAAUUAAUUCAAUAACCAAUUUUUAUUAUUUUUGAAAACCUUUUUGGGGGAUGAUGAUGUCCUGACCCCACCUAACUUAAUUUAAUUUUUCAUCAUUUUUGUGAUUAAUUUACUAUUUAUUUGACAUUUUUUAAGUUGACUUGACUUCUCGGUUGACUUUUGUAUGAUUGAUGUUUGACUUAGGGAUUUCUUAAGGCAAUUGAAGAGAUCUUUUGAUCCUCCCUUGUCCAUCUCAUAUGCCAUGUAUUGGAGGCCUUUCACCUCAAUUUUGUUUGAUCCUUGCAUCAUUUCCCGAUUAAAUUAUUCAUUGAUUCUUUGUGUGCAUAGUUUCGCUUGUCUGUUUAAUUUGAUAUUUUUUAUACUUGUUUCUUUCAUCCAUGUUUCUAUUUGUUAGAUUGAUUAACAUGUUUAUACUUCUCAUACAUUAUUUAAUGCUAAUUCAUUUCAUUCUUUGAUUAUUUGAUUUGAUUAUAUACUUGUUUAUAUCUUACUUGUUUGAUUAACUGUGGCCUACUUGUAUGGUGUAUGAGGCAUAUACUUAUAUUGCUUGAUUGCCAUGUCAACCCCCAUUCAUAACAAAUGUAUCCCUCUCCCAUGAAAUGUAUAACAUUUAUUCUUUCAUUCUUUAUUCAUCUGUUAAUACAAGAAUUAAAAUGAACAUUCGAUAACCAUUUCAAAGCAAGAUCAAAACCUCGAUCCAACGUCGAGUAAUCAUUUUUCAAAACCUAACAGAACCAGCACGUAUUCAUCCACCCUUUUGUAAGUCGAUUGCUUUAUGCAUCGCCAUCAACCUUGUAAGUCGAUUGCUUUAUGCAUCGCCAUCAACCUUGUAAGUCGAUUGCUUUAUGCAUCGCCAUCAACCUUGUAAGUCGAUUGCUUCAUGCAUCGCCAUCUAUCCUUAUCCCUAGCACCUCUCUUUGCUCCGUUCGUCGAUUCUUGUUCCGUUUAGGUAGCACCCAUUAGAUAGAACCCUUUGUAUGAUAACAUAGGUAGGAUUCCCAUAUCCUUUUGUAUGAUAACAUAGGUAGGAUUCCCAUAUCCUUUUGUAUGAUAACAUAGGUAGGAUUCCCAUAUCCUUUUGUAUGAUAACAUAGGUAGGAUUCCCAUAUUCUUUUGUAUGAUAACAUAGGUAGAAUUCCCUUAUUAUUUUGCAUGCUAACAUUAGGUAGAUAUCCCCAUUUGUAAAUCCUAACACUUAAGUACAUAUUGCAUGGCAACUUUAAGGCAGAGUUUCCCCAUUCUUUUAGACCUUCCGUGCGUCUCCGACCCUGUGGCAUGUCAAUCCGUCCUAUUGCAAAGAGGUAACCGCCUAAGACUCGAUUCAGCGAGCUGCGACACCUGCUGCUAGGGCGUGAACACAUUGUCCACUCUCCUUUGACACAACUGGUGUCCUCCUUUGUAAGUCCAUGUUCAGAUGGCAAUCCCUAUGUAGCCGAACUACGGCAACUCUGAUUCUCAUGUUCAGAUGAGAUACGUAGGCACAGGAUGCGAUGUCUUGCCGAGUUUGACUAACAACUAAUCCUUGUUUGCUUUCGCCCUCGUUGCGAUUCUUUUCUCUCGCCCCCGUUGCGAUUGAAACCUUUCCCUUUCUCUUGCCCUAGUUGCAAUCGAGACCUUUGUUCCCGUAGUUAGCUGAACUACGUUUUGCUCUGAUUCUCAUUCCAGAUGAGAUACGUAGGCAUAAGACGCGAUGUCUUAGCGAGCACACGUCUCCUUCACCCAUAGGUAGCCGAGCUACGAAGACUCUGAUUCUCAUAUUCAGAUGAGAUACGUAUGUAGUGGAUGCGACAUCCGUGCGAGUCAUUUUCUUUUGACCUUUUCUUUUAGUAAAUAGUACAUUAGAUAAACACACACCCUUUAGACAAGAACAACAAGAGUGGAUCCCGUAGAGUACUACGGAUGCGUAGGGGUGCUAAUACCUUCCCUUUGCAUUAUCGACUCUUGAACCUAAGAUUUGGUUGCGAGACCUUGUCUUUUCCUUUCCUCUCUUCAGGUUUACUUCGAGCGUUUCCUUUCCUUCCUUUGGGAUAAAUAACGCACGGUGGCGACUCUUCUGUCAUCCUUUUCUUUCGCCGGUUGUUUUUUUCGCACACUGUAUUUUUCAGGUUGCGACAGCUGGCGACUCCACUGGGGAACCGGUUUCCCUAAGCGAGUCCCUCCUAGCUUUUGUAGAUUUCUUGUUUGUUGGGUGUUUAUGCUUUUGUACAGUCGUUUAUUUUCUGCAUUUACCUGCUUUAUCUUAUUGCGUUCAUGUACAUAUGUUUGCUGUAUCUGUGGGUUCCGUGGGUUGUUUGUUUGUUGGGGUGGGAUGUUUUAUGAGAGAUAAGCCCACUACCCAGGCUUGAGCGUACAUAUAGGUUUUAGAGUGGAUAGUCAUGAGGCUUGCGUGGCAUGUUGCUGCGUUAAGUCGUUCAUGAAGACCCACAUCCAGACGAGGUUUCUUUGGAUAUGUUUUGUCCUAUGGGUGUUCCAUAACGACAAACGUUCCUUUAGAAAUCGUCGACUUUGGUGACCAUUUCCCGAGAACUCAGUCGAGGCCUCUCCUCCGAGACGCGUUUAUGUUAGCUCUGGUGGGCGCAUUCUCGCUACUCAAUCCGAGGACCCCGAGACUGGGAACUUGCUUUAGGAUAUCCUGUUGAGGGGAGUCUGUAACACCCCGAUAAAAUAAGAUAAUUAUUUAAUUUAAGUUAAUAAUAUAUUUAUUAAUUUAAUUAAAUAAUUGGAAUAUUUUUAUUGGAAUUAUUAUUAUUGGAUUAUUUUAUUAUUAUUAUUAUUGGAAUAAAAGUUGGAAUUAGAAAAGGUCCCAUUUGGUAAAAGGGUUAUUUUCACGUGAAAAGGAAAAGGAGACAGAAAAGUGGAAAAGGGCAAAGAGAACCAGAGAACAAGGGUUGGAGAGAGGAAGAGCUUGAAGCUUAAAGAUUCGCCGGAUCAACUCAGGUAACGAGCAGUGAUUGAGUAGAAGCUAGUCCUUGGAGUCUAGUGUAGUUCCUUAGUGGGUCAUGCUCUGGUAGAUGUAACAUCGGGAUGGGAUGUUUUACUAUGUUUUCAUUUGGUUGUUGAACAACUUUACAUGUAAUGUAUUACACGGUUUGAA
Long non-coding RNA from Lathyrus oleraceus (garden pea), 3220 nucleotides. RefSeq lists it as uncharacterized. Lineage: Eukaryota; Viridiplantae; Streptophyta; Magnoliopsida; Fabales; Fabaceae. The transcript is spliced from 2 exons. The record is from RefSeq and is a predicted model, not a curated record.